RNAcentral lists this ribosomal RNA (113 nucleotides) under Tahibacter sp. The record is from RNAcentral. RNAcentral also lists the same sequence under 3 other names. Lineage: Bacteria; Pseudomonadati; Pseudomonadota; Gammaproteobacteria; Lysobacterales; Rhodanobacteraceae.
CCUGGCGGCCAUAGCGGUUUGGUACCACCCGAUCCCUUCUCGAACUCGGAAGUGAAACGAACCCGCGCCGAUGGUAGUGUGCAUCCGCAUGCAAGAGUAGGUCACUGCCAGGG